UACGAAGGGGGCUAGCGUUGCUCGGAUUUACUGGGCGUAAAGGGCGCGUAGGCGGACAGUUAAGUCGGGGGUGAAAGCCCGGGGCUCAACCUCGGAAUUGCCUUCGAUACUGGCUGUCUUGAGUGUGAGAGAGGUGUGUGGAACUCCGAGUGUAGAGGUGAAAUUCGUAGAUAUUCGCAAGAACACCAGUGGCGAAGGCGGCUCACUGGCCCGAUACUGACGCUGAGGCACGAAAGCGUGGGGAGCAAACAGGG
This 254-nucleotide ribosomal RNA is filed under the name uncultured bacterium. Its description in RNAcentral is "partial 16S ribosomal RNA". It matches the Rfam family "Bacterial small subunit ribosomal RNA", at positions 524 to 777 of the family's 1533-position model. The record is from RNAcentral.